This 72-nucleotide transfer RNA is filed under the name Callithrix jacchus (white-tufted-ear marmoset). It matches the Rfam family "tRNA". Rfam says of the family: Transfer RNA (tRNA) molecules are approximately 80 nucleotides in length. Their secondary structure includes four short double-helical elements and three loops (D, anti-codon, and T loops). The record is from Rfam by way of RNAcentral. Lineage: Eukaryota; Metazoa; Chordata; Mammalia; Primates; Cebidae.
UAGAACAUGGUGUAAUAGGUAACACAGAGAGUUUUAAAUUCUCAGGUAUGGGUUCAAUUCCUAUAGUUCUAG